AAGCUCAUUCCUUCAUUAUUUUUUACGAAUUCACUGAACUCUAGAGAGAGAAAAUUAUAGAGAAAAAGAAGAAAAGAUUUCUGCUACUUAACUACUCUUAUAUUUCAGUUCUUCUUUAAACGGUAAGGGGUGUUAUUCUUUCUUAUUCAUGAAGAGAACUGUUAUUAUUCCAUUUCUUAUUAUUCUGUUGGAAUAACCUGUAUACG
RNAcentral lists this long non-coding RNA (206 nucleotides) under Panax ginseng (ginseng). RNAcentral's name for it is "long non-coding RNA (PGIN_LNC009345)". Lineage: Eukaryota; Viridiplantae; Streptophyta; Magnoliopsida; Apiales; Araliaceae. The record is from RNAcentral.